AGCCAAAUGCCUUAAUGGCGGAUAGGGGUCACGUUCAAUAAGGUCUGAAAUUUGAUUUCCCACGCCUACAAACUAGUUUCAAGUCUGGUUUGAGCUAAUGUUCCCUGCCUAAGCAAAUUAUUCAACACCAAUUCCACAUUAAUUAUUCUUCCCUACAUGAAUUAAUUCAAUACUAAUAAUUGCAUGAGAUAAUCAAAGAGAAUAGAAUCAAUGACCUUGGUUAUUCGAAAAGGCUUGCUUAUGUGAAGCUAUAGCUACUAAUAAAGUGUUAAACUACGAGAUCAGUGCCAUGAGUUAUAUAUACUGAACAUGCUUUCAAGUUGCAAUUACAGUUGUGACCAAAACUCACAAACACUUAAUUAUUCACGCUUUAAAUUCUUCCAGUUUUGCUUCACCACUCAAACCGGACUAAAACAAAUUCUAAUUCAGGCUAUUGAUUAACUCUAAUGCAUACAAGUAUUAAAACUUGUCCAGGAUUAGUAACAAACAAGCAAUUGAAUUACAUAAUACUAUCUAAAUCUGUCAGAACUUCGAGUGCAUAGUAGAGAAUCAACACCAAUUCAUUUUAUGCUCCAAUCAUAUGAGGUUACAACCACAUGAUCUCUAAUUUUGUACCUGAAAAUGGAAUUUUAAUAGAGGAAACGAAUCAGCAGCAGCUAUACUGUAGCAGAAUAAGAAAAAUUCAGGCAGCAACACUUCGAGAUAGUCAACAGCAACAAUAACCAACCCAGAAAGUCGAAAUAUAUCACAGAAAUAUUUAAUUUCACACAAAAUCCAUGAAUCCACUAGAAAUGACACCAAAUCAACUCAAAAAGCAAACCAACACACCUUUAACCUUUCAGCAAACAAAAUAUACCAUCAGCCAGUCGUUAAGGCCCAAACCCAAUCAAAUUCAAUCCAAAAUUCCUUUGAAGUUCAGAAGUCUGAACAUGGAACUAAAUGAAUGAAACAACAACUAUUUUUGAAAUUUUUGUUUUGGUUAUAUAAAAAUAAAAUCUAAAAGAAAAUUUUUGAGUUUUUCAAUGACUGGAAAUUCAAAAAUAGAGAUCUGUACGAGGGUUUUUGGGAGGAAAUAGAUCGCUGAAAAGAAGACCCUUUUUUAAGGAAUCAAAAUACCAAUUUAUAGGCAACAUAAGAAUGAUCAAUCGAUUUUU
Molecule: long non-coding RNA, 1154 nt
Filed under: Nicotiana benthamiana
Lineage: Eukaryota; Viridiplantae; Streptophyta; Magnoliopsida; Solanales; Solanaceae
Description: long non-coding RNA (NBEN_LNC034461)
Source: RNAcentral